This 381-nucleotide ribosomal RNA is filed under the name Triticum aestivum (bread wheat). RNAcentral's name for it is "partial small subunit ribosomal RNA". Lineage: Eukaryota; Viridiplantae; Streptophyta; Magnoliopsida; Poales; Poaceae. The record is from RNAcentral.
AUGGAGAGCGACGGCAAUUGUUUCUUUAGUACUAUAUGGAUAUGGUUUGUGCACGGGCAGCAUUCAUUAGAGUUUUUGCUUUGUUGGGAAGAGAAAGUGUUAACGCAUCUGCUCCACCUAGUUUAUCUUAAUCAUACCGGUUAUAAUGAAUGCAGAAUGAUGGUAUCAGCUGCACCUACUACUCCAAAUGAUCCUUGGUCGAUGGGACAAGUGGAAGGAAAAGCGUAUCAAGUAAUUUUGAGGAUACCCUACAAAGAAAAAAGUAAUUUUGAGGAGACAUUGAAUUGCAUGGCAAUAUAUGCCAAAGGAGCACGUAGUAAAUUGUUAAUGUUAUCAUGUGCGUGCAUGUCACCUCAGCCAGGACGAACUGAGGUUAGGUAA